AUGCAUGCUUGCCUGAUGAAGAACAAGAGUGAAAGCCAACAUCGUUGUUACUGCAGAUACUACAGAAGGGAGGCUUGGAAACACAGAGGAUCUCAUCUGCCUUCAAGAGGAGAGGCACAAGGAUACGAAGUUUGUGACCCAGUAUGCCCAGUACAUUGUUCUGGUUUAUUAAAAAAGUGCAAUUUUGAGAAACCCAAAUCAAAGGUGAAGAUAAUUUCAGUCAUUUUAUAAGGCAAGUUAUUGCCUUUGAAAUAAUUGAUCUAUAGAAAUGAUCAAAUUAGACCCUGUUAGAUUAUUCCUUAAAACGUAUUUAACAAUUAAGUACUGUAUUAAUGAGUGGAAAGAACAAUUACUUUAUAGCAAGAACAAUUACUUUAUAGCAAGAACAAUUACUACAAGCUGACCUGUUCAGAAUGGUCUUUAGAGACUCAUACUGGGACGAGGUAGUCAAUGGAAAUUCAGCCACGCCUAACUUACCAAAGGGAAGACGCUGGAGUUAUUUUCUUCUUUGUUAUCAGAAUUCAAGAAUUAAACUACAAUAGCAAGAAAUGGGGAUCCUUUAAAGCAACCAUGACCAGGUAAAAAAAAAAAAACUGUGAUUUACUUGAAGUUGUGGCCAAGAAAAAAAUUGUACCAAUUGUAAAUCUGUCUAAGUAGAAGUAUAAGUAGAUGGAACAGAGUAAAAUAUAAGUAAAUCUGGAAUAAUUCUUGUGUUUGAGUUUACCUAGACCUAACUUUAUUGGUGCUACAGGAGCUUUUGUUAUUUCCAGCUUUUUUCAUGUUUCCCAGAUGCAAUGAUCUCAGCCACUGAGUCCACAGCAGGGAGAUGAGUCAGGCAGUAGCAGUCUGGCAUCCCCUUCACACCCACCACAUGGGCCUCCUUCCGGGUCUCUAUCGUAGAAUCCUCAGGAGGCUCUUUGAAUUGAAAAGCCCUGGGGUAUGGCCAGUCUGCUUUGCAAUUAAGUAGACCAUACUCCUCAGGGAAAUUUUGGUGGAGAAUAGAGCUAGAAUCCUUCCAAGGAAGAAAGUAUUCAAUUUCCCAGGUGGGACUUGAACAGAAGGCCUGCUGUGGAAGGGGUCUGUAGGAGUGCUGACAACACUGACUCCACCUUUGGCUUUCCAUUGUGUUUGUGCCCGCACAAUGACCUCCCUCAGGGGUUCUGUGGUCCAGUCCCCUUAGAGGUUCAUGGUGCCCUGACUGGAAUGUGGGAAGGCUAGUUCUGAUCUAACC
RNAcentral lists this long non-coding RNA (1231 nucleotides) under Vulpes vulpes (red fox). Its description in RNAcentral is "lncRNA (ENSVVUG00000010110.1)". The record is from RNAcentral. Lineage: Eukaryota; Metazoa; Chordata; Mammalia; Carnivora; Canidae.